This 166-nucleotide ribosomal RNA is filed under the name Seymeria laciniata. Its description in RNAcentral is "5.8S ribosomal RNA". It matches the Rfam family "5.8S ribosomal RNA". From Rfam's summary of the family: 5.8S ribosomal RNA (5.8S rRNA) is a component of the large subunit of the eukaryotic ribosome. Lineage: Eukaryota; Viridiplantae; Streptophyta; Magnoliopsida; Lamiales; Orobanchaceae. The record is from RNAcentral.
CAUAACGACUCUCGGCAACGGAUAUCUCGGCUCUCGCAUCGAUGAAGAACGUAGCGAAAUGCGAUACUUGGUGUGAAUUGCAGAAUCCCGUGAACCAUCGAGUCUUUGAACGCAAGUUGCGCCCAAAGCCUUCCGGCUGAGGGUACGUCUGCCUGGGCGUCACGCA